RNAcentral lists this ribosomal RNA (479 nucleotides) under uncultured bacterium. RNAcentral describes it as "partial 16S ribosomal RNA". It matches the Rfam family "Bacterial small subunit ribosomal RNA", at positions 29 to 504 of the family's 1533-position model. The record is from RNAcentral.
AUUGAACGCUGGCGGCAUGCUUUACACAUGCAAGUCGAACGGUAACAGGCCGCAAGGUGCUGACGAGUGGCGAACGGGUGAGUAAUGCAUCGGAACGUGCCCAGUCGUGGGGGAUAACUACUCGAAAGAGUAGCUAAUACCGCAUACGAUCUAUGGAUGAAAGCGGGGGACCGUAAGGCCUCGCGCGAUUGGAGCGGCCGAUGUCAGAUUAGGUAGUUGGUGGGGUAAAGGCUCACCAAGCCAACGAUCUGUAGCUGGUCUGAGAGGACGACCAGCCACACUGGGACUGAGCCACGGCCCAGACUCCUACGGGAGGCAGCAGGGGGGAAUUUGGGACAAUGGGCGAAAGCCUGAUCCAGCAAUGCCGCGGGCAGGAAGAAGGCCUUCGGGUUGUAAACUGCUUUUGUACGGAACGAAACGGCUCUGGUUAAUACCCGGGGCUAAUGACGGUACCGUAAGAAUAAGCACCGGCGAACUAC